RNAcentral lists this long non-coding RNA (3417 nucleotides) under Mus musculus (house mouse). RNAcentral describes it as "predicted gene, 26885". The record is from RNAcentral. Lineage: Eukaryota; Metazoa; Chordata; Mammalia; Rodentia; Muridae.
GUCGCGGUGGAGAACCCCGCAGUUGUGGCAAUGCCGCACGGCCUCCAGCACCUGCCAGAAGAAUCCUCGGGCCAGGUCCUCCUGUAGGGCUCCUCGUUCGGUGAUAAAGUCGAAGAGGUCUUGCACCGGUUCGGGCCUCUCCAGGAUCAGCACGAAACUAUCGGGCCUCUCGAACCAGUCCAGAAGUCUAAUGACGCCCGAGAAGUCCGAGCUCACCUUCUUCAACAGGACCACUUCCAUGGGCACUCGGGUGCCAUUGGGCUGCAGAGUGAGGGCGAGGGUUAGCGCGCCGGUUCCGGCACGCCCGUCGCCACCCACCCACCCAUGAGAGGGUCUCUGGCUCCGGCUCACUCACCAGUUCUCCCCAAUCGGAAAUCCGGUCCUUCUCCACGUGCUUAAUGGCCACCUGGAAGAAGACCCCCGAGUCUCCAUCAGACCCUCCUGCUCAAAGCAUCCCUCCGCGCGCCCUCCCCGAGGCGGCGUUGCCCACUCACCGGCAAGUUGUCGGCGACGCGGAUGCCAGAGUAGACCGAGCCGAAGCCACCGCUGCCCAACAGCGGGCCCACCUGGUACUGCGACUCCAGGGGCUCCUUCUCUUUGCCUAGGAAAGAGGCACGGGACACUCAGCGCGCUCGACCCACGCGGGGGUCUCCCGGCGUCCCAACGACCCGCGCGCCCAGGGUGGGGUGGGGACACUCACCCGGCGCCAGCUUGGUGGCGUGCAGGUCGUUGCAGGGCGCGGCGCGCAGGCAUUUGUAAAAUGUUGAUGGCCAAGCAUGAUACCUCAUGCCUGAGACGCCAGCUCUCAGGAGGCCCCCGGCAAGUUCAAGGCCAGCUUGCUCUACAUGAUCCAAAGAAGCGUCUUUCUCUGAUUCCUUUUAUCUGGAAGAACUGAGAGGAGACGGGCGAACGGUUGUGAGAAUCUCUUUAAGGGGCAGUCCUGGAAUGAGUGAAGUGCACCGCUGACUCCUGGCCGCCUGUCUCUCCUAUGGCCUGGCAUCUUCACAGAUGCAGAUUUUGAAAAUGCAUUUCUCCUUUAUCUGAGAGCCCCUCCUGCCCCCUCCUCCAGGACCGACACACUAUGCGUGGAACCUGUGAUGCUAGGCCAUCCUUCCUAUGGUUUGACAUAUUGUCUCACCAGUAAAGGGUAGAGCUGGAACCCACCAUGAAAUCCUGGCCCAGCAAAAUACGUGCCCUAGAGAAGAAGGACCACAAACUCAAGGUCACCUGGGGCUACAUACUUAAGAUCCAGUCUCAAAACUCCAAAUCAAACAAAAAUUGCGCUAAUAAUAAAUUGUAGGAAGUAAGAAGAUGACACCAGGUAGCAGGUCUCAGGCAGCCUCUUUCUGGCUUUAGACUCAUGAUGGCUUAGAGUAGUUUUGAACUCCCAGUAUCAUCUUCUAAAUGUGCAUCUCGACAAAAAAAAAAGGAAUGACUUCGCCGGGCGUGGUGGCGCACACCUUUAAUCCCAGCACUCGGGAGGCAGAGGCAGGCGGAUUUCUGAAUUCGAGGCUAGCCUGGUCUACAAAGUGAGCUCCAGGACAGCCAGGGCUAUACAGAGAAACCCUGUCUCGAGAAAAAAAAAAAAAAAAAAGGAAUGAUUUCUCUGAGAUAGGGCCACAUGUAGCCCAGGCAACCCUCAAACUGUGAAGUCACAGAUUAUCUGAUCCUCCUGCCUCCACCUCCCAGUGUAAUUAAAAGUACAGCUAGCCUGGUGGCACGCCAUGCCUGACAUAGAGAGAGCAUGCAUCCAACUAAGGGCUUCAUUCUUACUAAGGCAAGCAUUCUGCCUACUGAGCUACAUACAUCCCCGGUGCAGAGAGGAAUAUUUAUUAAGCCUUCAUCCCUUCCAUAAUUGGACAAUGUAUUGUCUUGAUGUUCUGAUGGGCAGGAAGUUAUUUAGGCAGUAUAUAAACUGUCAUACUACACAGGGCAAAAAUAUUGCUUGUUUUCAAAAAAACAUUAGAAUACAGUAAAAUGCACCUGUCAUGGACUAGCCGGCUCUUCCUUUAAUCUUUUUUCCCCCCUCUCCUGUUUCAAAAAGAUGUUCAGGGUUCUCAGCAUAUCAGGGUCAUCAUUUUCAAACAUCCAUUAGUGCCAUCCCCCAGUCGAGGGAGAGAUGUAGUUAAUAAACAUUUCUGCUUGAUAGAGUCUAGCGAUCUAUUAGAACUGCCACCAAGCAGUCAGAGCACACAGUCCCGUUACCAGCCACAGAUCACAUGGCUACACACGUUUCUCCCCACCCCCCGCCCCCCAUUCUCUUUCUUUCCUAACCCUGCCACUUCUAAUAGCUUUACAUGUAUAUUAUAUACACCUUUUUUUUUUUUUUUUUGGUUUUUUCAAGACAGGGUUUCUCUGUGUAGCCUGGCUGUCCUGGAACUCACUCUGUAGACCAGACUGGCCUCGAAUUCAGAAAUCCACCUGCCUCUGCCUCCCAAGUGCUGGGAUUAAAGGCGUGUGCCACCACGCCCAGCUAUAUACAUCUUUUUUAAAUUUAUCAUGUAUAUGUCUGUGAGGAUGUGCAUGGGGUGGGGGUGGGGGGGCUACUCUAGGAGACCAGAGGCACUUGAUCCCUUGGGAUGUUGCCUGAUGUGUGUUCUGGGAACCGAACUCUGGUCUUCUGUAAUAAUAGCAAAGAUCACUAUCAACCUCUGAGCCAUCUCAUGCGGUUUACAUGGAUGUAUUUGAUAUAUACCUAAUAAUGGUAUUUCCUUUGUGCGUUGUUUGUUCGUGUGACUCUUUUUAGACAUGCUUCUGGGCCGGAGAGUUCCUGACCUCACUAUGCUGCCUGCGCAUGUUCUUGAACUUCGGAUUCUCUUGCUUCUCCUUCUCCCCCCCGCCCCCGACCCCCAGUGCUGGGAUCACAGGACUGCACCCCUAAGCCUGGCUUACAUACUGCUGUGGGUGGAGCUCAGGGCCUACUGUGCUCCAGCUGACAACCAAGCCCCAGCUGACAACCAAGCCCCAUCCUUAGCUCUAGUCCUUCACGUUGACUCUGCCUCACCUCUCAGAGAAAGAUGCUCUGUGGCCUGGAGCUUUUCCGGACUGUGUUUGACAACUGGAGUCAUUCCUAGAGCUUGCGCAGUAGACCAGGCUACUAGGCUACUACUACUAGCAGCCUCUGCUUCUGCCUCUUGAGUGCUGGGACUAAAGGCAUGAGCCAUCACUGCCCAGUAGCAUAUAUAUACAUAUAUGGAGCUGGAGAGAUGGCUCAGUGGUUAAAAGCACUUGUUGCUCUUGCUGAGGACCUGAGUUCAAUUCCCAGCCUACACAGUUGCUUACAUGCUUACAGCCAUCCAUAACUCCAGUUCCUGGGGAUAUGAUACCCUCUUCAGACCUCCUCAAGCACCAGGCACAUACAUAGUACACAUAUAUACACUCAUACACAAAAAGUAAAUUUUUAAAAAUUUGUUUUUA